Molecule: ribosomal RNA, 245 nt
Filed under: uncultured archaeon
Lineage: Archaea
Description: partial 16S ribosomal RNA
Rfam family: Archaeal small subunit ribosomal RNA
Source: RNAcentral
UCCCGGCGGUCCAAGUCGCAUCCACAAUUAUUGGGUCUAAAACAUUCGUAGCUUGUUUUGUUAGUCUCUUGUGAAAUUUUACAUCUUAAGUGUAGAGCUUGCAAGAGAUACUGCAAAACUUGGGACCGGAAGACGCAAAGAGUAUGAUUGAGGUAGCGGUAAAAUGUGUUAAUCUUAAUCAGACUAACAACAGCGAAGGCACUUUGCGAGUACGGAUCUGACAGUGAGGAAUGAAGGCUAGGGGC